This 315-nucleotide ribosomal RNA is filed under the name uncultured eukaryote. RNAcentral's name for it is "partial 18S ribosomal RNA". It matches the Rfam family "Eukaryotic small subunit ribosomal RNA", at positions 1470 to 1796 of the family's 1831-position model. The record is from RNAcentral.
CCCUUAGACGUUCUGGGCCGCACGCGCGCUACACUGACCAGUGCAACAAGCAUCCGUCCUUGGCCGACAGGCUCGGGCAAUCUUUGAACGCUGGUCGUGAUGGGGAUAGACUUUUGCAAUUUUUGGUCUUCAACGAGGAAUUCCUAGUAAACGCAAGUCAUCAACUUGCAUUGAUUACGUCCCUGCCCUUUGUACACACCGCCCGUCGCACCUACCGAUUGAAUGGUCCGGUGAAGCCUCCGGAUUGGCGCGCACCUCGGUGCCGCCGAGAAGUUGGCUAAACCUUAUCAUUUAGAGGAAGGAGAAGUCGUAACA